CCUACGGGUGGCAGCAGUGAGGAAUAUUGGUCAAUGGACGCAAGUCUGAACCAGCCAUGCCGCGUGCAGGAAGACGGUGCCAAGCAUUGUAAACUUCUUUUGUCAAGGGACAAAAUCAGGCUCGAGAGCCUGACCGAGGGUACUUGAAGAAAAAGCAUCGGCUAACUCCGUGCCAGCAGCCGCGGUAAUACGGAGGAUGCGAGCGUUAUCCGGAUUUAUUGGGUUUAAAGGGUGCGUAGGCGGGCUGUUAAGUCAGCGGUAAAAGCCCGGGGCUCAACCCCGGCGAGCCGUUGAAACUGGCUGUCUUGAGAUGUCGAGAGGUAUGCGGAAUGCGCAGUGUAGCGGUGAAAUGCUUAGAUAUUGCGCAGAACUCCGAUUGCGAAGGCAGCAUACCGGCGGCGAUCUGACGCUGAGGCACGAAAGCGUGGGUAUCGAACAGGAUUAGAUAUCCGAGUAGUC
This 459-nucleotide ribosomal RNA is filed under the name uncultured bacterium. Its description in RNAcentral is "partial 16S ribosomal RNA". It matches the Rfam family "Bacterial small subunit ribosomal RNA", at positions 338 to 795 of the family's 1533-position model. The record is from RNAcentral.